UGGGGAAUAUUGCACAAUGGGCGCAAGCCUGAUGCAGCAACGCCGCGUGAACGAUGAAGGUCUUCGGAUCGUAAAGUUCUGUUGCAGGGGAAGAUAAUGACGGUACCCUGUGAGGAAGCCCCGGCUAACUACGUGCCAGCAGCCGCGGUAAUACGGAAGGUCCAGGCGUUAUCCGGAUUUAUUGGGUUUAAAGGGAGUGUAGGCGGUUGGUUAAGCGUGUUGUGAAAUGUAGAUGCUCAACAUCUGACUUGCAGCGCGAACUGGCUGACUUGAGUACACACAACGUAGGCGGAAUUCAUGGUGUAGCGGUGAAAUGCUUAGAUAUCAUGAAGAACUCCGAUUGCGAAGGCAGCUUACGGGAGUGUUACUGACGCUUAAGCUCGAAGGUGCGGGUAUCGAACAGG
This 404-nucleotide ribosomal RNA is filed under the name Verrucomicrobiota bacterium. Its description in RNAcentral is "Verrucomicrobia bacterium partial 16S ribosomal RNA". It matches the Rfam family "Bacterial small subunit ribosomal RNA", at positions 355 to 776 of the family's 1533-position model. The record is from RNAcentral. Lineage: Bacteria; Pseudomonadati; Verrucomicrobiota.